This 774-nucleotide ribosomal RNA is filed under the name uncultured Neocallimastigales. Its description in RNAcentral is "partial large subunit ribosomal RNA". It matches the Rfam family "Eukaryotic large subunit ribosomal RNA", at positions 24 to 645 of the family's 3401-position model. The record is from RNAcentral. Lineage: Eukaryota; Fungi; Neocallimastigomycota; Neocallimastigomycetes; Neocallimastigales.
UAUGUGAUCGUCUCUCGCAUAUCAAUAAGCGGAGGAAAAGAAACUAACAAGGAUUCCCCUAGUAACGGCGAGUGAAGCGGGAAGAGCUCAAAUUUGAAAUCUUAAAGGGUUUCCCUUUACGAAUUGUAGUUUAAAGAAGUGUUUUCUGUUGAGGUUUUGGUAAAAGUUCUUUGGAAUAGGACAUCAUAGAGGGUGAGAAUCCCGUAUUUGACCUUUACUUUCAACUUUGUGAUACACUUUCAAAGAGUCGGAUUGUUUGGGAAUGCAGUCCAAAAUGGGUGGUAAAUUUCAUCUAAAGCUAAAUAUUGGCGAGAGACCGAUAGCGAACAAGUACCGUGAGGGAAAGAUGAAAAGAACUUUGAAAAGAGAGUUAAACAGUACGUGAAAUUGUCAAAAGGGAAGCGUUUGACACCAAUGUUGUUUUUCUGAAAAUCAAUUAAAGAACUGUUUAUGCUAAGUUGUUUAGACUUUAUCAGCUAACUGUUUAGUUUUGAGCUUUUCUUUAAUGCACUUUUCAGUUAACAAGUCAACAUCAAUUUCUUUUGCUGUAAAAAAGCUUGAGGAAGGUGGCUUGAGAUUCGUCUUAAGUGUUUAUAGCCUCUUGCCUAUGCAGUCGGAGAGAUUGAGGUCUGCAGCGUAGAUCCUUCGGGGCUAAAUGCAUUUGUGCUAAGUUAUAGCAUUUUAUAGACAACUUGUUGACUAUGAUUUGUCUUGUAGCUUACUCGCUUAUGUUAUUUUACCUACGCUUAGGAUGUUGAAGUCAUCGUAUCGCGC